UUAAGCGACUAAGCGUACACGGUGGAUGCCCUGGCAGUCAGAGGCGAUGAAGGACGUGCUAAUCUGCGAUAAGCGUCGGUAAGGUGAUAUGAACCGUUAUAACCGGCGAUUUCCGAAUGGGGAAACCCAGUGUGUUUCGACACACUAUCAUUAACUGAAUCCAUAGGUUAAUGAGGCGAACCGGGGGAACUGAAACAUCUAAGUACCCCGAGGAAAAGAAAUCAACCGAGAUUCCCCCAGUAGCGGCGAGCGAACGGGGAGCAGCCCAGAGCCUGAAUCAGUGUGUGUGUUAGUGGAAGCGUCUGGAAAGGCGCGCGAUACAGGGUGACAGCCCCGUACACAAAAAUGCACAUGCUGUGAGCUCGAUGAGUAGGGCGGGACACGUGGUAUCCUGUCUGAAUAUGGGGGGACCAUCCUCCAAGGCUAAAUACUCCUGACUGACCGAUAGUGAACCAGUACCGUGAGGGAAAGGCGAAAAGAACCCCGGCGAGGGGAGUGAAAAAGAACCUGAAACCGUGUACGUACAAGCAGUGGGAGCACGCUUAGGCGUGUGACUGCGUACCUUUUGUAUAAUGGGUCAGCGACUUAUAUUCUGUAGCAAGGUUAACCGAAUAGGGGAGCCGAAGGGAAACCGAGUCUUAACUGGGCGUUAAGUUGCAGGGUAUAGACCCGAAACCCGGUGAUCUAGCCAUGGGCAGGUUGAAGGUUGGGUAACACUAACUGGAGGACCGAACCGACUAAUGUUGAAAAAUUAGCGGAUGACUUGUGGCUGGGGGUGAAAGGCCAAUCAAACCGGGAGAUAGCUGGUUCUCCCCGAAAGCUAUUUAGGUAGCGCCUCGUGAAUUCAUCUCCGGGGGUAGAGCACUGUUUCGGCAAGGGGGUCAUCCCGACUUACCAACCCGAUGCAAACUGCGAAUACCGGAGAAUGUUAUCACGGGAGACACACGGCGGGUGCUAACGUCCGUCGUGAAGAGGGAAACAACCCAGACCGCCAGCUAAGGUCCCAAAGUCAUGGUUAAGUGGGAAACGAUGUGGGAAGGCCCAGACAGCCAGGAUGUUGGCUUAGAAGCAGCCAUCAUUUAAAGAAAGCGUAAUAGCUCACUGGUCGAGUCGGCCUGCGCGGAAGAUGUAACGGGGCUAAACCAUGCACCGAAGCUGCGGCAGCGACGCUGAUGCGUUGUUGGGUAGGGGAGCGUUCUGUAAGCCUGCGAAGGUGUGCUGUGAGGCAUGCUGGAGGUAUCAGAAGUGCGAAUGCUGACAUAAGUAACGAUAAAGCGGGUGAAAAGCCCGCUCGCCGGAAGACCAAGGGUUCCUGUCCAACGUUAAUCGGGGCAGGGUGAGUCGACCCCUAAGGCGAGGCCGAAAGGCGUAGUCGAUGGGAAACAGGUUAAUAUUCCUGUACUUGGUGUUACUGCGAAGGGGGGACGGAGAAGGCUAUGUUGGCCGGGCGACGGUUGUCCCGGUUUAAGCGUGUAGGCUGGUUUUCCAGGCAAAUCCGGAAAAUCAAGGCUGAGGCGUGAUGACGAGGCACUACGGUGCUGAAGCAACAAAUGCCCUGCUUCCAGGAAAAGCCUCUAAGCAUCAGGUAACAUCAAAUCGUACCCCAAACCGACACAGGUGGUCAGGUAGAGAAUACCAAGGCGCUUGAGAGAACUCGGGUGAAGGAACUAGGCAAAAUGGUGCCGUAACUUCGGGAGAAGGCACGCUGAUAUGUAGGUGAGGUCCCUCGCGGAUGGAGCUGAAAUCAGUCGAAGAUACCAGCUGGCUGCAACUGUUUAUUAAAAACACAGCACUGUGCAAACACGAAAGUGGACGUAUACGGUGUGACGCCUGCCCGGUGCCGGAAGGUUAAUUGAUGGGGUUAGCGCAAGCGAAGCUCUUGAUCGAAGCCCCGGUAAACGGCGGCCGUAACUAUAACGGUCCUAAGGUAGCGAAAUUCCUUGUCGGGUAAGUUCCGACCUGCACGAAUGGCGUAAUGAUGGCCAGGCUGUCUCCACCCGAGACUCAGUGAAAUUGAACUCGCUGUGAAGAUGCAGUGUACCCGCGGCAAGACGGAAAGACCCCGUGAACCUUUACUAUAGCUUGACACUGAACAUUGAGCCUUGAUGUGUAGGAUAGGUGGGAGGCUUAGAAGUGUGGACGCCAGUCUGCAUGGAGCCGACCUUGAAAUACCACCCUUUAAUGUUUGAUGUUCUAACGUUGACCCGUAAUCCGGGUUGCGGACAGUGUCUGGUGGGUAGUUUGACUGGGGCGGUCUCCUCCUAAAGAGUAACGGAGGAGCACGAAGGUUGGCUAAUCCUGGUCGGACAUCAGGAGGUUAGUGCAAUGGCAUAAGCCAGCUUGACUGCGAGCGUGACGGCGCGAGCAGGUGCGAAAGCAGGUCAUAGUGAUCCGGUGGUUCUGAAUGGAAGGGCCAUCGCUCAACGGAUAAAAGGUACUCCGGGGAUAACAGGCUGAUACCGCCCAAGAGUUCAUAUCGACGGCGGUGUUUGGCACCUCGAUGUCGGCUCAUCACAUCCUGGGGCUGAAGUAGGUCCCAAGGGUAUGGCUGUUCGCCAUUUAAAGUGGUACGCGAGCUGGGUUUAGAACGUCGUGAGACAGUUCGGUCCCUAUCUGCCGUGGGCGCUGGAGAACUGAGGGGGGCUGCUCCUAGUACGAGAGGACCGGAGUGGACGCAUCACUGGUGUUCGGGUUGUCAUGCCAAUGGCACUGCCCGGUAGCUAAAUGCGGAAGAGAUAAGUGCUGAAAGCAUCUAAGCACGAAACUUGCCCCGAGAUGAGUUCUCCCUGACNNNNNNNNNNNNNNNNNNGUCCUGAAGGAACGUUGAAGACGACGACGUUGAUAGGCCGGGUGUGUAAGCGCAGCGAUGCGUUGAGCUAACCGGUACUAAUGAACCGUGAGGCUUAACCUU
This 2911-nucleotide ribosomal RNA is filed under the name Escherichia coli. Its description in RNAcentral is "bacterial LSU rRNA". It matches the Rfam family "Bacterial large subunit ribosomal RNA". The record is from RNAcentral. Lineage: Bacteria; Pseudomonadati; Pseudomonadota; Gammaproteobacteria; Enterobacterales; Enterobacteriaceae.